This 76-nucleotide ribosomal RNA is filed under the name Bison bison bison. The record is from RNAcentral. Lineage: Eukaryota; Metazoa; Chordata; Mammalia; Artiodactyla; Bovidae.
CUCGGAAGCUAAGCAGGGUCGGGCCUGGUUAGUACUCUUGGAUGGGAGACCACCUGGGAAUCCCGGGUGCUCGAGG